RNAcentral lists this ribosomal RNA (777 nucleotides) under Lactococcus lactis. Its description in RNAcentral is "bacterial SSU rRNA". It matches the Rfam family "Bacterial small subunit ribosomal RNA", at positions 22 to 782 of the family's 1533-position model. The record is from RNAcentral. Lineage: Bacteria; Bacillati; Bacillota; Bacilli; Lactobacillales; Streptococcaceae.
GCUCAGGACGAACGCUGGCGGCGUGCUUAAUACAUGCAAGUUGAGCGAUGAAGAUUGGUGCUUGCACCAAUUUGAAGAGCAGCGAACGGGUGAGUAACGCGUGGGGAAUCUGCCUUUGAGCGGGGGACAACAUUUGGAAACGAAUGCUAAUACCGCAUAAUAACUUUAAACAUAAGUUUUAAGUUUGAAAGAUGCAAUUGCAUCACUCAAAGAUGAUCCCGCGUUGUAUUAGCUAGUUGGUGAGGUAAAGGCUCACCAAGGCGAUGAUACAUAGCCGACCUGAGAGGGUGAUCGGCCACAUUGGGACUGAGACACGGCCCAAACUCCUACGGGAGGCAGCAGUAGGGAAUCUUCGGCAAUGGACGAAAGUCUGACCGAGCAACGCCGCGUGAGUGAAGAAGGUUUUCGGAUCGUAAAACUCUGUUGGUAGAGAAGAACGUUGGUGAGAGUGGAAAGCUCAUCAAGUGACGGUAACUACCCAGAAAGGGACGGCUAACUACGUGCCAGCAGCCGCGGUAAUACGUAGGUCCCGAGCGUUGUCCGGAUUUAUUGGGCGUAAAGCGAGCGCAGGUGGUUUAUUAAGUCUGGUGUAAAAGGCAGUGGCUCAACCAUUGUAUGCAUUGGAAACUGGUAGACUUGAGUGCAGGAGAGGAGAGUGGAAUUCCAUGUGUAGCGGUGAAAUGCGUAGAUAUAUGGAGGAACACCGGUGGCGAAAGCGGCUCUCUGGCCUGUAACUGACACUGAGGCUCGAAAGCGUGGGGAGCAAACAGGAUUAGA